CGAAAAGCUCCGGGGAGGCGGCAAAUAUCCUUUGAUCCGGAGAUGUCUGAAUGGGGGAACCCACCUACUUUAAGGUAGGUAUUGCAACAUGAAUACAUAGUGUUGCAAGGCGAACGAGGGGAAGUGAAACAUCUCAGUACCCUUAGGAAAAGAAAUCAAUUGAGAUUCCCUCAGUAGCGGCGAGCGAACGGGGAUCAGCCCAUUAAGUUAUGUGUGUUUUAGUGGAACGCUCUGGGAAGUGCGAACGUAGAGGGUGAUAUUCCCGUACACGAAAGGGCACACAUAAUGAUGACGAGUAGGGCGAGGCACGUGAAACCUUGUCUGAAUAUGGGGGGACCAUCCUCCAAGGCUAAAUACUCCUGACUGACCGAUAGUGAACCAGUACCGUGAGGGAAAGGCGAAAAGAACCCCUGUGAGGGGAGUGAAAUAGAUCCUGAAACCGCAUGCAUACAAGCAGUGGGAGCACCUUCGUGGUGUGACUGCGUACCUUUUGUAUAAUGGGU
This 503-nucleotide ribosomal RNA is filed under the name Acinetobacter baumannii. Its description in RNAcentral is "partial 23S ribosomal RNA". It matches the Rfam family "Bacterial large subunit ribosomal RNA", at positions 69 to 620 of the family's 2925-position model. Lineage: Bacteria; Pseudomonadati; Pseudomonadota; Gammaproteobacteria; Moraxellales; Moraxellaceae. The record is from RNAcentral.